RNAcentral lists this unclassified non-coding RNA (200 nucleotides) under Pseudogymnoascus sp. Its description in RNAcentral is "partial internal transcribed spacer 2". The record is from RNAcentral. Lineage: Eukaryota; Fungi; Ascomycota; Leotiomycetes; Thelebolales; Thelebolaceae.
UUAAGUUCAGCGGGUAUCCCUACCUGAUCCGAGGUCAACCUGAAAAAAAUUGGGGGUUGAUGGCAAGCACACAACCGGACCUCCAGAGCGAGAAGAAUUACUACGCUCGGAGCCGGAUGGCACCGCCACUGACUUUAGGGCCCGCCGGGGCGGCGGGGCCCAACACCAAGCAGAGCUUGAGGGUUGUAAUGACGCUCGGA